GACCCAAACCCAGGCCCAUCUGACAUUCAGCGAAGCCCAAAACCAUUUCCAGAAGCCCAAGGUAUUUUGUUACAAAUACCCACCUUUCCACCUUGUUUUCUCAGAAAACUUCAUCAAAAAAAAAAAAGAAAGAGCUAGAGAGAGAGUGAGCUAAGAGGAAGUGUGAUUAUUUUGUAGUCAGAAAGUCGCCGGAGCUCGUCGCCGGAGCAACCGUGCGCCGUGAUCACGUUCAGCUCGCCACCCCCGAUCAACACCCUAGGUAACUGCCGGAAACCGCAUGCCUUAAGUUUCAGUUUCGUUUCCGUUUAGUAAAUCGCCCAUAACUUCCUAACCAUUGAUCAUCUCGUGCAUGCAAGACCACCAUCGUGUUCCUCUCGUCGAGACGAAGCCGUAGACACCAACCACACCGCAAUCGGAUCCCGGACGAAGCCGCUAGAGCCUCCCGAAGUUUCGCCUCUGCGCAGGCGUGAAACGCACGCGCCGUCGCCGUCCGCCGGAGCCACCGCGCAUUCCGGCCACUCGCCGCCGUCUCCGACCGCCGUUCGCCGGAGCCGCCGUGAUCGACCGCCGUCCGUCCGCCGCCGUGAAGCUGCCGCCGCGUCGCCGCCUCGCCGCCGUCGCCGCCGCUGAUUUUCCGAUUUAGAGUCUAUUUGAGCAGCUGGAGUUCAUAGAUACCACAUUUCCCUAUUGCUAAGGUGAGACCGACGAGCAGGAGUGAUUAUCGGACCUGUGCUAUUGGGCUUUUGGGCUUCUAUCGCUUUUAUCGCUUUUUAUCUUUAUCGGGCCUUUAGGCCUUUGGACUUUAUCGUUUGUGUUAUUUCCUAUUUCAGACUUUCGGUUUAUGUCGUAUUUUAUAUUUCGGAUGUUAUCGAUGUUGGGCUUUUAGGCCUUAUGGUAUCAUAUCGACUUUUAUAUUAUGAUAUGAAGAUUAUUAUUAUUCAGUAUUUAUUAUUUUGUUA
This is a long non-coding RNA of Brassica napus (rape), 959 nucleotides long. RefSeq lists it as uncharacterized. The record is from RefSeq and is a predicted model, not a curated record. Lineage: Eukaryota; Viridiplantae; Streptophyta; Magnoliopsida; Brassicales; Brassicaceae. The transcript has 2 exons.